Molecule: unclassified non-coding RNA, 356 nt
Filed under: uncultured fungus
Lineage: Eukaryota; Fungi
Description: partial contains small subunit ribosomal RNA, internal transcribed spacer 1, and 5.8S ribosomal RNA
Rfam family: Eukaryotic small subunit ribosomal RNA (bases 1-73)
Source: RNAcentral
UCAAACUUGGUCAUUUAGAGGAAGUAAAAGUCGUAACAAGGUUUCCGUAGGUGAACCUGCGGAAGGAUCAUUAAUGAAACCCUCGUCGAGAAGGGCUGUAGCUGGCCUCCCCCGGAGGCAUGUGCACGCCCGGAUCGCAUCCAUAACCUCUCACACACCUGUGCACCGAUCGUAGCUCGGGAUGAUUACGGGGCCCUCUUCCGAAGGGGGUCACGAAUGCCCUUGUCUAUGUUUUUUCUUUAUACACACACCGCGAAGUAACACAGAAUGUACGUCGAAACCACGUCUGACGAACGUGACGAAAUACAACUUUCAACAACGGAUCUCUUGGCUCUCGCAUCGAUGAAGAACGCAGC